Molecule: ribosomal RNA, 117 nt
Filed under: candidate division Zixibacteria bacterium RBG-1
Lineage: Bacteria; Pseudomonadati; Candidatus Zixiibacteriota
Also listed under: 1 other name
Source: RNAcentral
UCCGGCGGUUAUUGGGAGGGGGACACACCCGUUCCCAUUCCGAACACGGAAGUUAAGCCCCUCACCGUCGAUGGUACUGCCCUGGCAACGGGGUGGGAGAGUAGAUCGCUGCCGGGA